UCUGCCACUGCUUGGUGGUCGGGCUGAAGCUGCUGACUGUACAACACUACCUGAAGUCAUCUGCUGGGAUGGUGCAACCAAAGUCGCCUGAGGACAUUCUCGUGCAUAAUGUCCCUCCUGCCCACAUCUAUAGCAGGCUGUAGAUCCCAACAAACAAGCUCCUUUGUGCGGUCUUCCACACCUAUUGCAAACUGGAAUCUCUGUGCCAGAACUGGAGCCGCUACUCAUUCCCAGACCCGACUUAAUCCUGCUCCAGAACUUGCCUCUCUUUCCUCUGAGUUUAUC
RNAcentral lists this long non-coding RNA (285 nucleotides) under Manihot esculenta (cassava). RNAcentral's name for it is "long non-coding RNA (MESC_LNC007241)". The record is from RNAcentral. Lineage: Eukaryota; Viridiplantae; Streptophyta; Magnoliopsida; Malpighiales; Euphorbiaceae.